This 402-nucleotide ribosomal RNA is filed under the name uncultured bacterium. RNAcentral describes it as "bacterial SSU rRNA". It matches the Rfam family "Bacterial small subunit ribosomal RNA", at positions 355 to 774 of the family's 1533-position model. The record is from RNAcentral.
UAGGGAAUAUUGGUAAUGUGCGAAAGCGCGAACCAGCAACGCCGCGUGCACGAUGAAGGCCUUCGGGUCGUAAAGUGCUUUUAGAGAGGAUGAGGAAGGACAGUACUUUCUGAAUAAGCACCGGCUAACUUCGUGCCAGCAGCCGCGGUAAUACGAAGGGUGCAAGCGUUACUCGGAAUUACUGGGCGUAAAGCGUGCGUAGGCGGUCUGUUAAGUCUGCUGUGAAAUCCCCGGGCUCAACCUGGGAAUGGCAGUGGAAACUGGCGGGCUAGAGUACGGUAGAGGAUGGUGGAAUUCCCGGUGUAGCGGUGAAAUGCGUAGAGAUCGGGAGGAACACCAGUGGCGAAGGCGGCCAUCUGGACCAGUACUGACGCUGAGGCACGAAAGCGUGGGGAGCAAACA